Rhizobiales bacterium NRL2 is the source of this 115-nucleotide non-coding RNA. The record is from Rfam. Lineage: Bacteria; Pseudomonadati; Pseudomonadota; Alphaproteobacteria; Hyphomicrobiales.
CCUGGUGGCCAUAGCGCGGGGAAAACACCCGAUCCCAUCCCGAACUCGGCCGUAAAGACCCGCCGCGCCGAUGGUACUCCGGCUCAAGCCGUGGAAGAGUAGGUCGCCGCCAGGC